GUCCCUUUAUUUCUCAAACUGGCCGACACGUAGGGAAAAUAGAAAAGAACCUAUGUGACUAUCGGGACAGGUUCCCCGAUAAAGAGGAUUGUGACAUCUCACUGGACCCACACCCACCCAGGCAAUGUGGUUUUUCUACCUUCUCCCUGCCCACAGGUGAUAUUGUGCCAUAUACCUGAGACCAGUCCUCUUAUACCUGAAGCCAGGACAUGUGCAGAAUGGUGACUCUCAUCUCUGGACCUUUCCACAGGUGUUUUUGUGACAUAUACCUUUGCCCAGCUCCUGAGUGAUUUAAUAACCCUUCCUAGGUCUAGCUCACACAUGAGAUUUUGAUAUAUACCAGGGCCACACUCCGUAAUGAUUUGACUCUCCUGUCUUAACAGUGUCCUCAGGGGGGGGAUUAUAGCAUACCUUUAUACCCAGCAUCUAGGUUACAUGAUUCUCCUCUCCUGCCUGAACCCUGCUUCCUGUGGAGAUUGUAGCAUUUUCAAGCACUGCUUUCAAAUGAUAUGACUCUUGCCUGAACCCUGUCCACACAAAGCAUUGUGACAUACCUCUGGGCCCAUCAUUUAGGUGAUAUGAAUCCCCUCCCUUGCCUAGACACUGCCCACAAGAGGCAUUGUGCCACAGAGCUGGGCCUAGCACUCAAGUUAUGUGAAUUUUCUGCCAGGGCCUUGCCUACAAGGGUAAUAGUGGAAUUUUUCUGGCCCAGCAUUUAGGUGAUGUGGCUGUUCUGUCUGUCUCAAAACCACAGAGGGGAUUGUGACAUGUACCUAGGCACAGCUCACAGGCAUGAUAACGACUCUCAUAUGUGAACCCAGCCAAGUAGGGAAAUUUUGACGCUUGUAACUAGGUUUAGGGACAGGAGUGAUGUCCUGGAUCUUUUUCUGCUAAAAAGUUCACAGAAGCCUACAACACCCACACAUAUUUUACAAACCUUUUGGAUUAUACAGACAGUGUCAUAACAAAGCCCAACACACAGGUGAAAUUUUGAGUCUCAUAUGCACACCCAGCUGACAGUAAAGACUGUCACUGUCUCACAUGAAUGAAGCCAACUGUCAUACAUAAAAACAGGACAUGUAUGGUAUAGUAAAUCUCAUUCCUGAAAUUUUCUGCCAGUGUGAUUGUCAUAUAAGUUUUUGCCAAGUGCUUGUGUAAUUUGACUCUCCAGACUAGUUCCAGCCCACAUAUGGGAUUGUGAUAUUAUUUACCUGGGCCAACCUCUACGUGAUGUAACUUUUUUUGCUGGCCCCUUCUCUCAGUAAAGAUUGUGACAUAUCACUGCAUCUAGCACCCAGGUGAUGUUACAUUUUUGCCUGCACCAUCGUGACAGAAAUCAUUGUGACAUAUCACUGUGUCCACCACUUAGGUGAUGUAACUCUCCUCUCUUGAAUAAGCCCUGCACACAGGGAGAAUAAUGACAUAUGUGUAGUCCAGGCAGAGAGAUGAUGGUACUCUUUUGCCUGGGCCAUUCCCCAAGGAGGGUAUUGUGACAUAUCUCUGAGCAUAUUACCUAGGUGAUGUGACACCCUGCUUGGGCCCUGUCCACAUGGAGCAUUGUGACAUAAGGGUGGAACCUGCACUUAGGUGAUGUAACUCUCUUGCCUGGGUCUUGUCCUAAGGUAGCUUGUGACAUAUCGAAGACCCAGCACCCAGGUGAUGUGGCUCUUCUGCCUGGUUUCUGCCCACAUGUUACAUUGUGAUAUACACCUCGAGAAGCACCUAGGAAUUAAAAUUGACCUGCAAGACGUCUUUACUUCAUGGAGAUCUGUAGAAGCUGAAGUCCAAAAUGUGACGAUGAAGCUCGGCAAUUACAAAAUCUAUAGAUAAAGAAAGACUGCCAAGGAAGAGGCCCAGAACCCAAAUGAUGUUACUCUUCUGCCUAAGUCCUGAAUUAAGAUGGAAUUAUGGCAUAUUGCUGGGCCCAGCACCCUGAUGAUGUGACUCUCCUGCCUGUUCCAGAGCCACAGAAGAUGCUUCCUGCCCUCAAACAUCGGAUU
Molecule: long non-coding RNA, 2000 nt
Filed under: Homo sapiens (human)
Lineage: Eukaryota; Metazoa; Chordata; Mammalia; Primates; Hominidae
Description: HSALNT0341228
Source: RNAcentral